AGCUUUGUGCAGUGACAGUAUCAGAGCCAAUGAGGUUUAUCCAAGGUGCGAUUAUUGCUAAUUGAAAACUUUUCCCAAUACCCUGUCGGGACGACUUGAAAAUAGUGAGCAUUGGCAAUUUUUGACAGUUUCCACGGAAU
Molecule: small nuclear RNA, 140 nt
Filed under: Tursiops truncatus (common bottlenose dolphin)
Lineage: Eukaryota; Metazoa; Chordata; Mammalia; Artiodactyla; Delphinidae
Description: U4 spliceosomal RNA (ENSTTRG00000023117.1)
Rfam family: U4 spliceosomal RNA
About the family: U4 small nuclear RNA (U4 snRNA) is a component of the major U2-dependent spliceosome. The structure of U4 snRNA from yeast and human has been reported. U4 snRNA presents a k-turn RNA motif in the 5p-SL related to recognition of Snu13 protein.
Source: RNAcentral